Candidatus Harrisonbacteria bacterium is the source of this 2965-nucleotide non-coding RNA. The record is from Rfam. NCBI's taxonomy places the organism in Bacteria, Candidatus Harrisoniibacteriota.
GUUUAACAAAAACACAGGUCCCUGCUAACUCGUAAGAGGAUGUAUAGGGGCUGACGCCUGACCGAUGCGAGAAGGUUAACGGUGGGGGUGCCCCGACGCAAGUCGGGAUGCUCACUGCCCGAAGCCCUCGUCAAUGUCAGCGAUAACUAUAAGGUAACGAUUGUAGUUAAAAAAUCUGACUAUAUGCUGGAAACUCCGAGCAUAUCAAAAUACGGCAAGGCCGCCUGCCUGCCAUUUCUAUGAGAACCGCGGUUUUCUUGCUCUAGCGGCAAGAGCCCGCUACGCCUCGCUCCGAUUUUUUGCUUCGCAAANNNNNNNNNNNNNNNNNNNNNNNNNNNNNNNNNNNNNNNNNNNNNNNNNNNNNNNNNNNNNNUGGUAAAAAAUCCUCAGAGACUAUACGUCAGAAUCGCCGAAUGGCGAUAAGAUAUAGUCCGAACUGCCCCGAUGAAAAUCGGGAUCCCGACUUCAUUAUUUUAGAUUUUAAAAUAGUGCGUCGGGACAUGGCGACAUGCAGAGUUGAUUCAAUAAAAAAUUGGAUCAGAAUAACAUAUGAAUCGUUCUAAGGUUCCGCGAAUUGCGAUGCCUUAGUAAAAUUUGGUCCCGACGCCUGUAACGGGUGCGGGAUGCCGACUGAAAAAUGUCGGCACUGUAUCGGUGAACAUCCUAUCCAAGUUUUGGAUUUAUCCUGAGCUUGUCGAAGGACAAUACCGAGGGAAGUUAUUUGCUCAAAUUUUUGGAUUUUAAAGUAAAAAAAAUAUCCCCAGACCGCGCUACGCUGCGGUCUGGGGAGGCAUUGGCUAUUGUUCGCUCUGGGGUUAACUAACUCUUUACCCAUGAGCUACCCUUUGCCGCCUAAAAAACACCUUUAAGGAUACCUGCGCCUACACGCUGUUAUGCUGAGCUUACGAAUACUGCUAGCUCAUACAAGACUACCAGCGCGCGGAGAGUUCGCAGAUAUGGUGGUUUCCGAUCCACCUGUUAGAAACAGUAUAGCAUACUAUAAAAAUCUUGUCAAUAGCUCCAAAAAAGCCAUGACAAAUCCAAAAAUUUGAGCAAAUAACCCCGUAGAGACUACACGCCGAACUCCGACGCAGGGUCGGAGAAGAUAUAGUCCGAACUGCAUAGUAAUAUGCAGAGGCAAGCAGAAAUGCCUUGCCCAAAUUCUAGAUUCUAAAUUUUAGCUUCUAGAUUCUGUAACAAUAUUGAGCGCAAUUCCUUUUCGGGUAAGUUCCGAAGCGCACGAAAGGCGUAACGACUGGAGAACUGUCUCAACGAAGAGCUCGGUGAAAAUGCGAUUCCCGUGAAGACGCGGGAUACCUGCAGCGGGACGAAAAGACCCCGGGAGCUUUACUGUAGUUUGGUAUUGGCUUUAGAAAUUGGAUACGUAGCGUAGUGGUGAGGAUUUGAAGCUUCGAUUUCGGUUGGAGCGGAUCCGACAAUGAAACAGCCAUUUUUCAAUUUUUAAAUUCUAACCUGAUCGGCAAAAACGGUCAGAGACAGUGCCUGACGGACAGUUUAAAUGGGGCAUUUCUCUCCUAAAGAGUAAUGGAGAGGUUUAUUAAGGUCGGCUUGGCCCGGAUGGAAAUCGGGCUGGACGCGUAAAGGCAAAAGCCGGCUUAACUGCGAGACCUACAAGUCAAGCAGGUGCGAAAGCAGAACUUAGUGACCCGACAACACUUUGUAGAAAGGUUGGAGACAACGGCUAAAAGUUACCCCGGGGAUAACAGGCUAGUGUCGUCCGAGAGUCCUUAUCGACGACGACGCUCGGCACCUUAACAUAUCGGGGUGCUAUGACAGCAAUGUCAUACUAAAAACAUGACUUAUAACGGUGGACUCCAUGUGAUAAAAUUAUUGCAUGGACAAUACCGUGGGAAGUUUAACUCAAUUACAAAGAUCAGUGAUUAUUGGAUCAAUUUUAGGUGAUGGAUACUUAAGAAUUUUUCCAGGAAGGAAAAAUGCGCUUAUGGAAUUCAACCAUUCUUUUAAACAGAAAGAAUAUGUUGAUUGGAAAUAUUUAAUUUUAAAAAAUAUUUCCGGUUCAGCGCCUAAAAUUAGAAAAGGCAACGGCAACAGAAUAGCUUAUCGGUUUUAUUCAAAACAAAUUUUUGAAUUAUCAGAAUUACAUAAAUUGUUUUAUAAAAACGGCAAGAAAAUUAUUCCUGAUGCCAUUAAUUUAGAUCCAAUAAUUUUAUCAGUUUGGUUUAUGGAUGAUGGAAGUAGAUGCAGAAGCGUUGACGUAUAUUUAAAUACCCAACAGUUCAGUAUUGCUGACCAGAAAAAAUUAAUCCUGGCUUUGGAGAAAUUAGGUUUAAAAACCGCGCUUAAUAAAGAUAAAAUUUAUUAUCGCUUAAGAUUUUUAAAAUCUUCUUUGCCAAAAUUAAGAGAAUUAUUGAAGGAUAAAAUUAUUCCUUCUAUGAAAUAUAAAAUUGAGUUAUAACCCCGUAGAGACUUAGCUUUGAAAAAAGCUAGAGUGCGAAUUUAUUCGUGCUAAUACGUCAUCUCCUUUUUAAGAUCAAAAAGGAUGAAGAUAUAGUCCGAACCUCUUCGUAAGAAGGGAAAAAUAACGACAGCGAUGUCGGCUCGCCCUAGCGCGGGGCUGGAGAAGGUCCCAAGCGUAUGGCUGUUCGCCAUUUAAAAGGGCACGUGAGCUGGGUUCAAACCGUCGUGAGACAGGUUGGUCUCUACCUGCUGUAGGCGUGGACGAAAGUCCGUAAACACUUGAGGGAAGUCGAUCCUAGUACGAGAGGACCGGAUUGAACGAGCCGCUGGUCUGCCAGCUUUGGUACCAACUGAAGCGCUGGGUAGCUAUGCUCGGAAAGGAUAAGUGCUGAAAGCAUCUAAGCACGAAGCCUCGCCCAAGAUUAGGUGUUAGGUUCGUGGAAGAUUACCACGUUGAUAGGCUCUAGGUGUAAGGCCAGUAAUGGUUUUAGCCGAGGAGUACUAAUAAACCGAUUUUUUCUUACGC